Equus caballus (horse) is the source of this 460-nucleotide non-coding RNA. The record is from RefSeq and is a predicted model, not a curated record. Lineage: Eukaryota; Metazoa; Chordata; Mammalia; Perissodactyla; Equidae.
CUUUAACAAACCCAGCUGGGACUGGAAAGGGGCCGGGACAGCCCACCCCCGGCGCGCGCCCAUAGGCCGGCUGUGAGCCCCGCCUCGUGCCGAUUGGUUGUAAAUGGCUACUGAGUUAUUUCAUUGGCGCCCCCACGCACCGGUUGGCGCAGGUUCCUGAGACCCGCCUCUCCUCGGAUUCAGAAUUCCCAGCUUAACAGGGAGCCGCAGACAGGAAGAAUGGAGGCUGCUGUUCUCAGUCUGGUUUCUGUGCCACUGCCACUGCCGCCACCACCACCACCACCACCACCAUCACCACCUCAGCACAGCUCCAGGGUGGGAGCCACCCUGAGGGGAGGACCAGGAGAAAAAAGAGAAAAAAAGAAAAAAGCAAAAUCUAUGUGAAUCUGUAUUGAUAUAAUUAAAUGAUUACGUAAAUAAAUAAAUGGAGGUGAAGAGACAAAUCUUUCUUUUUUUAAAG